GCUUCUUAACUUAAAGAAUUAAUAACAUCUAACUCAUAAAUAGGAGAAAUAUCAUUAGGGUAUUUCAUUGCAUAAAAAACAUUGAAUUUAAUUACUUUUCCUACAAACUCCAUGGUUAAUGCGCUAUCAUGUAUAUCAAUUUUUGUCCUUGCUGUGCUGAGAAAAAGGCCUCCCCAAGAGGAUAUCAGAUGUUGCAUUGGUCUUGUCUUCCUCCAUGUCAAUCACAUAAAAAUCUGCUGGAAAAACUAGCCCGUCAACUUAGACCAACACAUCUUCAAG
Molecule: long non-coding RNA, 279 nt
Filed under: Manihot esculenta (cassava)
Lineage: Eukaryota; Viridiplantae; Streptophyta; Magnoliopsida; Malpighiales; Euphorbiaceae
Description: long non-coding RNA (MESC_LNC009230)
Source: RNAcentral